UACGAAGGGGGCUAGCGUUGUUCGGAAUUACUGGGCGUAAAGCGCGCGCAGGCGGGUCAUCAAGUCAGGGGUGAAAGCCCAGAGCUCAACUCUGGAACUGCCCUUGAAACUGGUGACCUUGAGUACGGGAGAGGUGAGUGGAAUUCCCAGUGUAGAGGUGAAAUUCGUAGAUAUUGGGAGGAACACCGGUGGCGAAGGCGGGUCUCUGGGCCGAUAUUGACGCUGAGGAGCGAAAGCGUGGGGAGCAAACAGG
Molecule: ribosomal RNA, 253 nt
Filed under: uncultured bacterium
Lineage: Bacteria
Description: partial 16S ribosomal RNA
Rfam family: Bacterial small subunit ribosomal RNA
Source: RNAcentral